GACGAACGCUGGCGGCGUGCCUAAUACAUGCAAGUAGAACGCACAGUUUAUACCGUAGCUUGCUACACCAUAAACUGUGAGUUGCGAACGGGUGAGUAACGCGUAGGUAACCUGCCUGGUAGCGGGGGAUAACUAUUGGAAACGAUAGCUAAUACCGCAUAAUAUUGAUUAUUGCAUGAUAAUUGAUUGAAAGAUGCUAUUGCAUCACUACCAGAUGGACCUGCGUUGUAUUAGCUAGUAGGUGAGGUAACGGCUCACCUAGGCGACGAUACAUAGCCGACCUGAGAGGGUGAUCGGCCACACUGGGACUGAGACACGGCCCAGACUCCUACGGGAGGCAGCAGUAGGGAAUCUUCGGCAAUGGACGAAAGGCUGACCGAGCAACGCCGCGUGAGGGAAGAAGGUUUUCGGAUCGUAAAGCUCUGUUGUAAGAGAAGAACGGGGGUGAGAGUGGAAAGUUCACACUGUGACGGUAGCUUACCAGAAAGGGACGGCUAACUACGUG
This 505-nucleotide ribosomal RNA is filed under the name uncultured bacterium. Its description in RNAcentral is "partial 16S ribosomal RNA". It matches the Rfam family "Bacterial small subunit ribosomal RNA", at positions 28 to 507 of the family's 1533-position model. The record is from RNAcentral.